CUUCUCAGGUGCUGGUGGAGGGACGCCGGCAGGCAGGACACAAGGCUAUCGAGAAGGAAGAAGCGUUCACAGAACAGCUGUUAGCCCUGCACGUGCUCCCUCCAACCACCUGAGUGGCACUGAGGCCCUGUGCCAUCCUAGCCUAUGUGGAUAGGGUAGGUUUCUCAACCUAUU
This 174-nucleotide long non-coding RNA is filed under the name Dasypus novemcinctus (nine-banded armadillo). RNAcentral's name for it is "lncRNA (ENSDNOG00000052825.1)". The record is from RNAcentral. Lineage: Eukaryota; Metazoa; Chordata; Mammalia; Cingulata; Dasypodidae.